AUGGAUUCAGGUUGCAUGUUUUGUGCAGGCUCUUAUCACGCGAUGGCAUCCACUGUGGAAGGAGGCGACACAGCUCUGCUCCCAGAAUUCCCCAGGGGGCCCCUCGAUGCCUACCGAGCAAGAGCGUCCUUCAGCUGGAAGGAGCUGGCGCUGUUCACGGAAGGGGAGGACAUGCUCCGCUUUAAGAAAACCAUCUUCUCAGCUCUUGAGAACGACCCUCUUUUCGCUCGUUCCCCUGGAGCUGAUCUGUCCUUGGAGAAGUAUCGCGAGCUGAACUUCCUUCGAUGCAAGCGGAUCUUCGAGUAUGACUUCCUCAGUGUCGAAGACAUGUUCAAGAGCCCUCUGAAGGUCCCCGCCUUGAUUCAGUGCCUGGGGAUGUAUGACUCUUCUCUGGCUGCCAAGUACCUCCUCCAUAGCUUGGUGAGCAUGCGGCCCAGGGGAGAGGGAAACGGCUUUCAUGAUGCGCUGAGCCUUGAGGGAUGCCUGUCCCAGGGCCAACCAAGAGGCAGAGAAACACCAGUUUGUCCAGCUAUAUUUGCAAAUUUUAAAAAUUAUCUUUUUUUUAAUGUUUUUUAAAAAAUUUCAGUCCCCCUUUUCAUUUUUUUAUUUUCAAGCCCAUCCACCAUCAUGUAAUUGUAAAUUUACACACAUAAGUCCUUGAAUAAAAUACAAUGUGGUGAAGCUUCAAGUCCCAUCAGAAGAGGAGCUGUUGGGACUUUUUUUUUUUUUUUUUUUACCUCAUACAAAAAAAGAGACAAAUGAUUAAAAAAAAAUAAAAAAAUUUAAAAAGUAGGCCAAAGGGAGAAACCUGUGUUUUUCCUUCCUUUGUAACAUACCAGCAGAGCUGAGCUUGGGCAAAAUGGCUUUGCCCUUAGCCUUGCCUGUAUUGUUUGAUGGGCUGGUGGGCUCUGCUCUCCUUACAGCUCUCCCUGCUGUCCUCAGACCCCCAGGACUCCUUGCAGGCAUCUUAAUUCCCAGGUGAUUUCUGUGUGCCUUAUACAAGGUGCUUGGCACAGAGAUGUAGGUCUUACCACUCACAUGAACUCAGGGACCCGGGGCAGCUGUGUGUCAGGAGACCCUGGCCUUGGGCAUCCAGGCUGCUGGCUAACCUCUCAGCACUUGUUCUCCACCUUGGGGAAAGUGCAGUGUGGCAGGGAACCAGUGUGGGCAUGGUGUUGAGUGCCGUUGUCUGUUGUGAUGUUCCGGAAGAGCAGUACUCUUCUUACCUGCCCCCUGUUGAUAGGACGAUGCUAUACUUUCAGGUUUUUGGAUCAGCAGUUUACAGUUCUGGUUCUGAAAGACAUCUCACAUAUAUUCAAAAGAUCUUCAGGAUGGAGGUAAGUUCUGGUUCAUGGUGAAUUGUGAGCCUGGUUCUCUUGCUUGAUCUCUGUAGAGAUUUGUGAAAAGAGAAGAUUGUAGAAGGGGGUGCCCAGGGGGCUUAUGCUCUUCUUGUUUCCUAGUGUUCUCAGGCUUCUCACCAAAUAGCUAGCACUGUUCUUUAGCAAACACAGGCACAUUGACUUCCUAGCACCAGGUGAAUUGUCACUGAGGCCUUCCACUGUCUUUUCCUGACGAGCAGUUCCUGCCACCUUGCUGACGUGGAGCAGCUGCGGUCAGCUUGGUGCAGGCUGCUGUGGUUGCCAGCUGAGUGUGGCAGCAUGACUCAGUCAAGUCACUAGUUGGGUAGAUGGAAAUUUGGGGCUUUGAUAUGUGGUUUCAUCUUUAAAGGAAAGAUGGCAGUGAGGUCCUUCUGGGAAUGUGCACAAAGAACUUUUCUUGCUUUCCAUCAUUUUGUGCUUUGACGUUUAGAUUUUUGGAUGUUUUGCUCUGACCGAAUUAAGCCACGGCAGUAAUACCAAGGCCAUUCGCACGACUGCCCACUACGAUCCUGCCACUGAGGUAGGUAUUACCUUCCCCCGGAUCCCUGGGUUUGGAGCAUAUGAGACGUCAUGAGUGCAAAUGCCGUUGCCAAGAAUAAGAAAAAAAAACAUUAAAGCAAGAGGCCUGUCCACAUACACAUGUGUAGAAAUACCCACUGAGAUUCAUCACACUGAAAAGUGGGGCCCAGGAGAUCAGGCAUUGGAGGACAAAGCCUGUGCCCACCAUGAACUUUAUGGGGAAUUGAUCGUGGUUUGGAUUUGUGUGUAAUUUGAGUGCAGUGAAGAAGCCCUCAUUCUGUAAAAUUUAUUGCCUUGUUUACCUGGCUGCCUACGCGUAGUGGAUUCAUAAACCGUUCGCAUGGCCCUUGGUUUCUACGAUGGGCCCCAUGGAGACAACAUGCUCCCUGCCCUCUGCCCUUUGUGGCUGUCCCUCUGCGAAGAGCCUGCCUUGUCCAUUUCCAC
Pan troglodytes (chimpanzee) is the source of this 2342-nucleotide long non-coding RNA. The record is from Ensembl. NCBI's taxonomy places the organism in Eukaryota, Metazoa, Chordata, Mammalia, Primates, Hominidae.